Molecule: ribosomal RNA, 451 nt
Filed under: uncultured Peptostreptococcaceae bacterium
Lineage: Bacteria; Bacillati; Bacillota; Clostridia; Peptostreptococcales; Peptostreptococcaceae
Description: bacterial SSU rRNA
Rfam family: Bacterial small subunit ribosomal RNA
Source: RNAcentral
CGCGUGAGCGAUGAAGGCCUUCGGGUCGUAAAGCUCUGCCCUCAAGGAAGAUAAUGACGGUACUUGAGGAGGAAGCCCCGGCUAACUACGUGCCAGCAGCCGCGGUAAUACGUAGGGGGCUAGCGUUAUCCGGAAUUACUGGGCGUAAAGGGUGCGUAGGUGGUUUCUUAAGUCAGAGGUGAAAGGCUACGGCUCAACCGUAGUAAGCCUUUGAAACUGGGAAACUUGAGUGCAGGAGAGGAGAGUGGAAUUCCUAGUGUAGCGGUGAAAUGCGUAGAUAUUAGGAGGAACACCAGUUGCGAAGGCGGCUCUCUGGACUGUAACUGACACUGAGGCACGAAAGCGUGGGGAGCAAACAGGAUUAGAUACCCUGGUAGUCCACGCCGUAAACGAUGAGUACUAGCUGUCGGAGGUUACCCCCUUCGGUGGCGCAGCUAACGCAUUAAGUACU